CAGAGGCGGGCUCCGUGCCGGCCUGCCCAGCUGCAGAUCUCGGAUGUUUCCCUGAGACAAAAACAGAGAAGGAAGAGGCCCAUGUAAGAUGGGCUUUCAAGUCAGCUCAAGCACCCACUUCUCACUACCGAUGUCCUCUACAAGCACUAUUCCCUCGAUUAGUACCAUACCGCUUGCCGAACGACGCCAAGACCAGCUUAAAUACGCGCUUCCCACCAUCUCCACCAGCCGGGCUCGGUCGCGCGUGCCUGUUACUC
This 257-nucleotide microRNA precursor is filed under the name Oryza sativa (Asian cultivated rice). RNAcentral's name for it is "miR5493 stem-loop (osa-MIR5493)". Lineage: Eukaryota; Viridiplantae; Streptophyta; Magnoliopsida; Poales; Poaceae. The record is from miRBase by way of RNAcentral.